GGGGAGGGAGACACCAUGGUUGUAAAGGCGGUUUUUCCCGGGGCGAGGCUUAUCCAUUGUUCUCUGGUUUGGUUGAUCUCUGUAUUUUCCCCCAAUGUGGGAAACU
This 106-nucleotide small nuclear RNA is filed under the name Mus pahari (shrew mouse). RNAcentral's name for it is "predicted gene, 25280 (MGP_PahariEiJ_G0033753.1)". It matches the Rfam family "U1 spliceosomal RNA", at positions 11 to 116 of the family's 166-position model. From Rfam's summary of the family: U1 is a small nuclear RNA (snRNA) component of the spliceosome (involved in pre-mRNA splicing). Its 5' end forms complementary base pairs with the 5' splice junction, thus defining the 5' donor site of an intron. Lineage: Eukaryota; Metazoa; Chordata; Mammalia; Rodentia; Muridae. The record is from RNAcentral.